CCUACGGGCGGCAGCAGUGGGGAAUAUUGGACAAUGGGCGAAAGCCUGAUCCAGCCACGCCGCGUGUGUGAAGAAGGCCUUCGGGUUGUAAAGCACUUUCAGUGGGGAAGAAAGCCUUGGGGCUAAUACCCUCGAGGAAGGACAUCACCCACAGAAGAAGCACCGGCUAACUCCGUGCCAGCAGCCGCGGUAAUACGGAGGGUGCGAGCGUUAAUCGGAAUUACUGGGCGUAAAGCGCGCGCAGGCGGUCUGAUAAGCCGGGUGUGAAAGCCCCGGGCUCAACCUGGGAACGGCAUCCGGAACUGUCAGGCUAGAGUGCAGGAGAGGAAGGUAGAAUUCCCGGUGUAGCGGUGAAAUGCGUAGAGAUCGGGAGGAAUACCAGUGGCGAAGGCGGCCUUCUGGACUGACACUGACGCUGAGGUGCGAAAGCGUGGGUAGCAAACAGGAUUAGAUACCCCAGUAGUC
RNAcentral lists this ribosomal RNA (465 nucleotides) under Vreelandella stevensii. RNAcentral's name for it is "partial 16S ribosomal RNA". It matches the Rfam family "Bacterial small subunit ribosomal RNA", at positions 338 to 795 of the family's 1533-position model. Lineage: Bacteria; Pseudomonadati; Pseudomonadota; Gammaproteobacteria; Oceanospirillales; Halomonadaceae. The record is from RNAcentral.